UACGAAGGGGGCGAGCGUUGUUCGGAGUUACUGGGCGUAAAGGGCGCGUAGGCGGCGCUCCAAGUUAGGCGUGAAAGCCCCGGGCUCAACCUGGGAAUAGCGCUUAAGACUGGAGUGCUUGAGUGCGGGAGAGGUGAGUGGAAUUCCCAGUGUAGAGGUGAAAUUCGUAGAUAUUGGGAAGAACACCUGAGGCGAAGGCGGGUUGCUGGGCCGACACUGACGCUGAGGCGCGAAAGCCAGGGGAGCGAACGGG
Molecule: ribosomal RNA, 253 nt
Filed under: uncultured bacterium
Lineage: Bacteria
Description: partial 16S ribosomal RNA
Rfam family: Bacterial small subunit ribosomal RNA
Source: RNAcentral